This 73-nucleotide transfer RNA is filed under the name Methylobacterium sp. V23. RNAcentral describes it as "tRNA-Trp". It matches the Rfam family "tRNA". Rfam says of the family: Transfer RNA (tRNA) molecules are approximately 80 nucleotides in length. Their secondary structure includes four short double-helical elements and three loops (D, anti-codon, and T loops). Lineage: Bacteria; Pseudomonadati; Pseudomonadota; Alphaproteobacteria; Hyphomicrobiales; Methylobacteriaceae. The record is from RNAcentral.
GCCGGUGAGCAAGUGGUUGUGGCUCGGGCUCCAAACCCGAAACCCGCAGGUUCGACUCCUGCCACCGGUGCCA